GGCAUCUGUGCUGGGCUUCAAUAAAGUUGAGCAAGAGUUGGCAGCCAUCGCUUGGCCUCCCGUGCUCGCCCGUAUCUGCUCAGAACAGGUGGAGGCUCGCCGCAGCAUCCGCAGCCCAGACAGCAGCCCCCUGCACCCCCACACAUCUCGUGCCACAUGGCAGCCGUCCCUCAGCGAGUCUGGUCCAUUCUUUAGCGAACACGCCUGCCCGCCAUCGCCGCAUGCUGCCCGUUGUUGAGCCACAAUGAGAGGAAGAAUAGCAGCACCCAUAAUCCCUUGGUUCUGCUCCUAGUCUGGUGGCACCCUCUCAAUCAGACUUCUUGAAAGCGUCUCUGAUCGCCGGGGCCGUCUCAUGAGAUGCCGUAGUUGUUGUAGUAGGCGGCGGUGGCGUCGGCCAGCACCGAGAUGAGACUGGUCUCCGUGGUGCUACUGGGACACGUCAAGGUGGAGACGGGGGAGGAGGCGGAGGACACCUGGACGUGGCCCGUGACCGUGACCUGCUCGGCAUGGAAGCCGCCCCCGGUGGAGUUCAGGUACUGGUCAAACUCGUCGCGGUCCACCUCACCCA
This is a long non-coding RNA of Entelurus aequoreus (snake pipefish), 568 nucleotides long. RefSeq lists it as uncharacterized. NCBI's taxonomy places the organism in Eukaryota, Metazoa, Chordata, Actinopteri, Syngnathiformes, Syngnathidae. The transcript has 4 exons. The record is from RefSeq and is a predicted model, not a curated record.